CCUACGGGAGGCUGCAGUGGGGGAUAUUGCACAAUGGGGGAAACCCUGAUGCAGCGACGCCGCGUGGGCGAAGAAGUAUUUCGGUAUGUAAAGCCCUAUCAGCCGGGAAGAAGAAAUGACGGUACCUGAGUAAGAAGCACCGGCUAACUACGUGCCAGCAGCCGCGGUAAUACGUAGGUGGCAGGCGUUGUCCGGAAUUACUGGGUGGAAAGGGAGCGCAGGCGGGAAGUCAAGUCAGCUGUGAAAACUACGGGCUUAACUUGUAGACUGCAGUUGAAACUGGUUUUCGUGAGUGAAGUAGAGGUUGGCGGAAUUCCGGGUGUAGCGGUGAAAUGCGUAGAUAUUCGGAGGAACACCGGUGGCGAAGGCGGCCAACUGGGCUUUAACUGACGCUGAGGCUCGAAAGUGUGGGGAGCAAACAGGAUUAGAUACCCCAGUAGUC
RNAcentral lists this ribosomal RNA (442 nucleotides) under uncultured bacterium. RNAcentral describes it as "partial 16S ribosomal RNA". It matches the Rfam family "Bacterial small subunit ribosomal RNA", at positions 338 to 795 of the family's 1533-position model. The record is from RNAcentral.